GACGAACGCUGGCGGCGUGCUUAACACAUGCAAGUCGAACGAAAAGGCCCUGCUUUUGUGGGGUGCUCGAGUGGCGAACGGGUGAGUAACACGUGAGUAACCUGCCCUUGACUUUGGGAUAACUUCAGGAAACUGGGGCUAAUACCGGAUAGGAGCUCCUGCUGCAUGGUGGGGGUUGGAAAGUUUCGGCGGUUGGGGAUGGACUCGCGGCCUAUCAGCUUGUUGGUGGGGUAGUGGCUUACCAAGGCUUUGACGGGUAGCCGGCCUGAGAGGGUGACCGGCCACAUUGGGACUGAGAUACGGCCCAGACUCCUACGGGAGGCAGCAGUGGGGAAUAUUGCACAAUGGGCGGAAGCCUGAUGCAGCAACGCCGCGUGCGGGAUGACGGCCUUCGGGUUGUAAACCGCUUUCGCCUGUGACGAAGCGUGAGUGACGGUAAUGGGUAAAGAAGCACCGGCUAACUACGUG
RNAcentral lists this ribosomal RNA (468 nucleotides) under uncultured bacterium. RNAcentral's name for it is "partial 16S ribosomal RNA". It matches the Rfam family "Bacterial small subunit ribosomal RNA", at positions 28 to 507 of the family's 1533-position model. The record is from RNAcentral.